AUUGAACGCUGGCGGCAUGCUUUACACAUGCAAGUCGUGCGGCAGCGCGGGGGCAACCCUGGCGGCGAGCGGCGAACGGGUGAGUAAUGCAUCGGAACGUAUCCUCGAGUGGGGGAUAACCCAGCGAAAGUUGGGCUAAUACCGCAUGAGCUCUGAGGAGGAAAGCGGGGGACCUGCGAGGGCCUCGCGCUGGAGGAGCGGCCGAUGUCCGAUUAGCUAGUUGGUGGGGUAAAGGCUUACCAAGGCGACGAUCGGUAGCUGGUCUGAGAGGAUGAUCAGCCACACUGGGACUGAGACACGGCCCAGACUCCUACGGGAGGCAGCAGUGGGGAAUUUUGGACAAUGGGGGCAACCCUGAUCCAGCCAUGCCGCGUGAGUGAAGAAGGCCUUCGGGUUGUAAAGCUCUUUCGGACGGAACGAAAUGGGCGGGACUAAUACUCCUGUCUGAUGACGGUACCGUAAGAAGAAGCACCGGCUAACUACGUG
This 486-nucleotide ribosomal RNA is filed under the name uncultured bacterium. Its description in RNAcentral is "partial 16S ribosomal RNA". It matches the Rfam family "Bacterial small subunit ribosomal RNA", at positions 29 to 507 of the family's 1533-position model. The record is from RNAcentral.